RNAcentral lists this ribosomal RNA (253 nucleotides) under uncultured bacterium. Its description in RNAcentral is "partial 16S ribosomal RNA". It matches the Rfam family "Bacterial small subunit ribosomal RNA", at positions 524 to 776 of the family's 1533-position model. The record is from RNAcentral.
UACGUAGGUGGCAAGCGUUGUCCGGAUUUACUGGGCGUAAAGAGCGCGCAGGCGGUCGUUCAAGUCGCGUGUGAAAGCCCCCGGCUCAACUGGGGAGGGUCACGCGAUACUGAUCGACUGGAAGGCAGGAGAGGGUAGUGGAAUUCCCGGCGUAGUGGUGAAAUGCGUAGAUAUCGGGAGGAACACCAGUGGCGAAGGCGACUACCUGGCCUGUUCUUGACGCUGAGGCGCGAAAGCUAGGGGAGCAAACGGG